RNAcentral lists this unclassified non-coding RNA (676 nucleotides) under Hevea brasiliensis (rubber tree). Lineage: Eukaryota; Viridiplantae; Streptophyta; Magnoliopsida; Malpighiales; Euphorbiaceae. The record is from RNAcentral.
AUAAAGAGGCUUAUGACAGUAAGUUUUCUUUUUGUUGGCAAAUGUGCCACUCAUAUGUUUUAGUUUUACCUUGAUCUUCAAUAUUAUCAUAGCUGCCGAAUGCUUAUUCACCCCUAUAUUCCAUAAAUAUGUUUAUCUUGAUCUACCAACUGAGAGGUUUCGAGUGUCAGAGCUAUUUCCUGGAAGUUAAUUAUUAUACUUUGGUUUGCUGCCUUGUAUGUGAUAAACAAUUUAAGAUGGGAGUGGGAUACCCUUACCAAGUGAAGAUUUAUAAUUGCUAGUAAUAAAGUGGCAUCAAUGUUAAAGAUGCCCUUUCUUUCAUAUAUGCAUAUCAUGCCUAUAAAGAAAUAUUGUAGCUUAUUAUUCAGUAAUAAUGUAUGUAGUAGUAGCUUGUCUAAGUGUAACAUGAUAUAGUUUUCUGCUUCAAUGCCAAUAAACUAGAAACCCCUGAACUGUAUAUUUGUUUGUUAGAAACUAACAAAAGUUUCUGCAUGAAAGAGCUUUAGGAAUAUGUUCAUUUUCAUGUUUCUAGUGUUGGCUCAAUAUUAAUAUAAUUUUUUCCAAUCGUGAUGCUUAUCGAAGCAAUGUCAGUAUGCUUUUUCUUCCUUCAACUAUGGUUCCCUAAAUCUUAUUGUGUUCUAGAAUCUAGAUACUUAUUAAGAGUUGAUUAUUGAGA